RNAcentral lists this ribosomal RNA (512 nucleotides) under uncultured bacterium. Its description in RNAcentral is "partial 16S ribosomal RNA". It matches the Rfam family "Bacterial small subunit ribosomal RNA", at positions 28 to 523 of the family's 1533-position model. The record is from RNAcentral.
GAUGAACGCUGGCGGCAUGCCUAAUACAUGCAAGUCGAACGAGAGGAAGGAAAGCUUGCUUUUCUGAAUCUAGUGGCGAACGGGUGAGUAACACGUAGGUAACCUGCCCAUGUGCCCGGGAUAACUUCUGGAAACGGAUGCUAAAACCGGAUAGGUAACAGACAAGCAUUUGACUGCUAUUAAAGCGGCUAAGGCCAUGAACAUGGAUGGACCUGCGGUGCAUUAGCUAGUUGGUGAGGUAACGGCCCACCAAGGCGACGAUGCAUAGCCGGCCUGAGAGGGCGGACGGCCACAUUGGGACUGAGACACGGCCCAAACUCCUACGGGAGGCAGCAGUAGGGAAUUUUCGUCAAUGGGGGGAACCCUGAACGAGCAAUGCCGCGUGAGUAAGGAAGGUCUUCGGAUCGUAAAGCUCUGUUGUAAGAGAAAAACGACAUUCAUAGGGAAUGAUGAGUGAGUGAUGGUAUCUUACCAGAAAGUCACGGCUAACUACGUGCCAGCCGCCGCAGUAA